UGGGGAAUUUUUCACAAUGGACGAAAGUCUGAUGAAGCAAUGCCGCGUGAAGGAUGAAGGUUUUCGGAUCGUAAACUUCUGUGAUAAAAGAAAAAAAUACUAAUAGGAAAUGAUUAGGAAUUGAUGUUACUUUAUUAGAAAGUCACGGCAAACUAUGUGCCAGCAGCCGCGGUAAUACAUAGGUGGCAAGCGUUAUCCGGAUUUAUUGGGCGUAAAGGGUGCACAGGUUGUUAAGAAAGUUUAAAGUUUAAUUCCGCAGCUCAACUGCGGGCCGCUUUGAAUACUUCUUGACUAGAAUAUCGGUGGGGUUAGUAGAAUUUGAUGUGUAGUGGUGGAAUACUUAAAUAUAUCAAGGAAUACCAAUGGGGAAGCCAGCUAACUGAACGAAUAUUGACACUUA
This 400-nucleotide ribosomal RNA is filed under the name uncultured bacterium. RNAcentral's name for it is "bacterial SSU rRNA". It matches the Rfam family "Bacterial small subunit ribosomal RNA", at positions 355 to 749 of the family's 1533-position model. The record is from RNAcentral.